ACCUAGUAGUACGGAAUAAUUGUUGGAAACGGCAACUAAUACCGUAUAUGCCCUACGGGGGAAAAAUUUAUUGCUAUUAGAUGAGCCUAUAUUAGAUUAGCUAGUUGGUGGAGUAAUAGCCUACCAAGGCAAUGAUCUAUAGCUGAUCUGAGAGGAUGAUCAGCCACACUGGAACUGAGAUACGGUCCAGACUCCUACGGGAGGCAGCAGUGGGGAAUAUUGGACAAUGGGCGAAAGCCUGAUCCAGCCAUGCCGCAUGAGUGAAGAAGGCCUUUGGGCUGUAAAGCUCUUUUAGUGAGGAAGAUAAUGACGGUACUCACAGAAGAAGUCCUGGCUAACUCCGUGCCAGCAGCCGCGGUAAUACGGAGAGGGCUAGCGUUAUUCGGAAUUAUUGGGCGUAAAGGGCGCGUAGGCUGGUUAAUAAGUUAAAAGUGAAAUCCCGAGGCUUAACCUUGGAAUUGCUUUUAAAACUAUUAAUCUAGAGAUUGAAAGAGGAUAGAGGAAUUCCUGAUGUAGAGGUGAAAUUCGUAAAUAUUAGGAGGAACACCAGUGGCGAAGGCGUCUAUCUGGUUCAAAUCUGACGCUGAAGCGCGAAAGCGUGGGGAGCAAACAGGAUUAGAUACCCUGGUAGUCCACGCUGUAAACGAUGAAUGUUAAAUAUGGGAAGUUUACUUUCUGUACUACAGCUAACGCGUUAAACAUUCCGCCUGGGGACUACGGUCGCAAGAUUAAAACUCAAAGGAAUUGACGGGGACCCGCACAAGCGGUGGAGCAUGUGGUUUAAUUCGAUGCAACGCGAAAAACCUUACCACUUCUUGACAUGAAA
Molecule: ribosomal RNA, 826 nt
Filed under: Wolbachia endosymbiont of Balloniscus sellowii
Lineage: Bacteria; Pseudomonadati; Pseudomonadota; Alphaproteobacteria; Rickettsiales; Anaplasmataceae
Description: bacterial SSU rRNA
Rfam family: Bacterial small subunit ribosomal RNA
Source: RNAcentral